This 6321-nucleotide long non-coding RNA is filed under the name Sus scrofa (pig). RNAcentral describes it as "lncRNA (ENSSSCG00050048690.1)". The record is from RNAcentral. Lineage: Eukaryota; Metazoa; Chordata; Mammalia; Artiodactyla; Suidae.
ACUAUUUCUGUGUUCUUGAGUGAGCUUGCAGCUGACUAUGGCACUUCUGAGGAUACCAUCUGGUGGUCUCAGCUCUGCGGAUUUUGAAACACAAGGAAAGAUGGAAAGAGAGCACAUCUCAGUUUGGACCAGCCACAUGUUAAAUGCUCAACAUCCUCCCAGGGCUCGUGCCUACUGGACUGGGCAAUGCAGCUUUACCAACACGUGAUGCCUAAUCACCCAGGACAAGUCAGUUUAUAGAGUCAAUCCAUUGACGAGGAAGAGAAAACAAGCCACCUUGACCCUGACUGAACUUCCUCAGGCAUCUCCCCACCCCCAGGGCUGAGGAGCAUCUAGCUGACAGAUUCCCAGCAACACAGCCAAGGACCAAGGCGGCAGUUCCAGGCGCCAAUGGAACAGCUCCGGGAAGGACCACGUGCACACACCCACGUUGACAAGGCACUCUGGAAUUCUAGCUGAACCAAGGCCCUCGUUUCUUCUUACCUGGGAGAGGAGGGCAGACCUCUACCCUUCCAAUGGCAUGCACAGAACAUUCCUGACAGACUGCCCUCACGUGGCUCUGUUAACUGGCUUCAUAGUCCCCAUGCAUCAGAAUUCUGUCAGGCUCCAUCUUCCAAGCACCGUUUCAGUCUGGUCUCUGCAUUCUGUGGUGUGUUCUGAUCUCUGAUUCCUGAUUUAUGGCUCCCUCUUGUGGAUGUUGGCUUGGCUUUGCCCCCAUCGGUUUUCUCUAGUCAAAACUGCCUCUGAUCCACCUCAUUCCUAAGAGGAGUUCGAAUAAGCACUUGCACUGGGAUAAAGGAGCAGAAAAGACUCGGUGUGUGAACAUCGCCCUGACUUAAUGGGGGCAGCAGCUACCUGGCGGGAGAGGAUGGAGGUUUGAGAGGUCCUGAGGACAAUUUUUAAUUUCUUCCUUUUUUUUUUUUUCCAGAAAGGGAAGCUGAGUUAUUCUUGGUUCAAAUCUCUCUUCUCCAUUAGCUUUCAGUUAAGUUUCAAAACUUCUCCCCAGGUCGCCAGAGGUAGACUGAACGUGCAGUCUUCUUGGUUUUAUUUUAGGAGGGCGUGCACAGUUGAGGUUCUUAUAAAGAGCUCAAAACUGAAACACAAACCAGAAUCUUCCUCUCCCACCUGCUGUGAGCCAAUUCCCCUCUUCUCUAGGCAGCAUACUUCCCAUUCAGUUACAGACACUAGGAGGUUUACCUGCAUAAGGAGCAGGAGUCUAGGUUGCUGUGCGUUUCCCUCUCUGGCUGUCCCCCUUGCUGAUCACAGGCUUUGUGUCUUCAUUACAAAAGUAACCAUAGGGUGUUACAUUCCCCAAAGCAAGCCAUGACAUAGUCAUUCUGCGCUUCCUUCUCUUGACAUUUGUACCAAAGGAGAGUAAGAAUGUAAACGUGUUUUAUAUAAGCCACUUCCAGACUUACAUACAGCUUCAUUAGUAUAAAAGAAUAUUUGAUGUGAUUAAUUUUCCAGUUCCAACACGAUGGCUUUCCGGCCUUUCACUGCCUUCUUAAGGGAGACAAGAGAAGAAAAAAUACUCUAAUUUUAAUUUUUUUUUUUAAAGUUCGUAGCUGUGCCAAGUACAACCAUUAUGGUCAGUGCAAAAGCACUCCACUUUUUAAUUUAGUUGUAAUAGCACAUUACUUACCCUGUAGAAAUGUGCUAAAAUAAACAUAAAAUAAUCCUGGGCCUCAUGACGUAGAGAACAAGACAUUUUGGGGAAAAAAAAUCAUUGACGCUAAUGUCAAACCAUCUAGUGCUUUGCAGGAGGCUAUUUACAAUAGAAAGAGCGUAUGUACACAGCACUUUACAGCAAGCAUCUUGAGAACUCAUUCUUUUUUUUUUUUUUAAAGGAUAAACACCAACAUUUUUUAAUCCAUGUUUGUGACUUAAUCUAGAUCACAGUUUAUCUGCACUGGCUCAGAUUUUUUAAAAUUGAGAAAUAAUUGACACAUAACCCUGCAUAUGUGUACAGCAUCAUAAUUUGACAUGCGUACAUUGCAAAAUGAUCAACCCAAGAAGUUUAGUAAACAUCCAUCAUCACGCAGUUAAAUUGUUUUUCUUUUGAGGAGAAAAUUUAAGAUCUGCUCGCUUAGCAACUUUCAAAUACGCGAUAUAGUGUGGUUAAUUACAGGCACCGCCUGUACUUAUUUGUCUCAUAAUGAAAAGCUUGUAUCUUUUGAUCACCUUUAUUCUUUUCACCCACCUCUUAACACUCCCCCCAUCCCAAUCCCGGAAACCACCCAUCUGUUCUCUGUUUCUAUAAGUGUUUUUAGUUUUUUGUUUUUAAAUUCCACUUACAAGUGAUAACACAUAUUUGUCUUUCUCUGACUUAUUUCACCUAUCCUAAUGCCCUCAAGGUCCAUGUUAUUUGCAAACGGCAGAAUUUCUUUCUCAUAGAUGAAUAAUAUUUUACCGUAUGUAUAAACCACAUUUUCUUUAUCCAUUUAUUUAUUUAUUGACACAGAGAUUGUUUCUUUUUUUUUCAGAUUUUCGAAUUUAUUUUCUUAGAAUUGAGACAGCCAUUUUGCAAUGGUAUUGUAAUUUUGUGUCUAUCUGUUGUUUUUUUAAUUACUCAAUGAAUUUUAUUACAUUUAUAGUUGUACAACAAUCAUCACAACCAAAUUUUAUAGCAUUUCCAUCCCAAACCCUCAGUGCAUCCUCCCAACCCCCCAACCUGUCUCAUUUGGAAACCAUAAGUUUUUCAAAGUCUGUGAGUCAGUAUCUCUUCUGCGAAGUUCAUUUUGUCCUUUUUUUAGAUUCCACUUGUAAGUCCAUGAUAGCAUUUGAUGGUGGUGUCUCAUUGUCUGACUGACUUCACUUAGCAUGAUAAUUUCUAGGUGCAUCCAUGUUGCCGCAAAUGCUAUUAUUUCUUUCCUUUUAAUGGCUGAGUAAUAUUCCAUUGUGUGUUUCCAUAUAUGGGCUGUCAUUAACAACACUGCAGUGAACAUGACGGUGCAUGCAUCUUCUCAAGCUAACAAUUUCAUUUCCUUUGGAUAAACACCCAGAAGAGGAAAUGCUGGAUCAUACGAUAGUUCUAUUUUUAAUAUUUUGAGGGACCUCUGCACUAUUUUCCAUGAUGGUUGCACCAAUUUACAUUCCCACCACCAAUACACAAGUGUUCCCUUUUUUCCACAUCCUCACCUAUGCUUGAUAUUUCUUGUCUUUUUGAUAAUACUCAUUUUAAUAGGUGUGAGUUUAUACCCUGUGGUUUUGAUUUGCAUUUACCUGAUAAUUGGUAAUGUUGCGUACCUGUUUGUCUACUUGUUGGCAAUCUGUAUGUUUUCCUUGGAAAAAAAAAACUUAUUAAAAUGUUUAUUCAGAUCGUCUGCCCACUUUUAAAUCAGAUUUUGUGGGGGUAUUUUUGUUACUGAGUUAUAUGAGUUUUUAAAUAUAUUUUUAGAUAUAUGACUUGCAAAUAUUUUCUCCCAUUCAGUAGGCUGCCUUUUCAUUCUGUUGAUGGUUUCCUUUGCUAUACAGAAGCUUUUGAGUUUGAUGUGUAUUUUUGCUUGUGUUGCUUUUGCUUUGGGUGUCAAAUUAAAAAAAAAAAAAAUUACUGCCAGGAUCAAGGAGCUUGUCCCCUAUGUUUUCAGGCCUAAUUUUGCAGUCUUUAAUCUAUUUUGAGUUGAUUUUUGUGGGUGGUGUAUGACAGUGGUCUAGUUUCUUUCUUUGGUAUGUGAUUGUCCAGUUUUCCCACCACCGUUUAUUUAAGAGACUAUCAUUUCCCCACUGUAUAUUCUUGGUUCCUUUAAUGUACAUAAAUUGACUAUAUAUGCAUGGGUUUAUUUCCAGGCUCUCUGUUCCAUUGAUUCACACAUUUGUUUUUAUUCAUACUGCUGUCAAUACUAUAGCUUUGUAAUACAGUUUGAAACCAGGAAGAGAACUCAUUCUUUUAGGGCAGUGUUUUUCUGAGCUAGGCUUUAUUAGGCCUAGUGUGAUGAAUGCUUCCAAUUAGGUGAUCUCUUAAAAUACUUAACCAGUGAGCAGAGUCUGAGCUUCUCCAAGGCAGGUAGAAGAAUAUCAAGGGAGAAAACUGAAGGAGAGAGAAGAUUUUAGUAUUGACUUUGCUCUAAAGGUGCUAGACUACUGUCUGAAACAUGUUACCUUUUCACAGUCCCCUCCCAAAUUUAACAAAGAUGAGAAUCUAGGUGAAGAGACUUUUGGGAGCUAAUUUGGGUAUUGUUAGCGUGAGACUGGAAAUAUUCUGUACCUUCCUAUUCUACUACCUGGCCCUGCAAAGUCUGCCAUUGGGUGUUAAUUUCCAGGAGGAGCUACUUCCUUAUUCAUUCUCAUCCCCAACCUCCUAGGAUCUUCCAGGACAUUCUGGAGGAAGUCUGGGAGAGUGCCUAGGGGAGACGAAGGCAAAGGAGGACAAUGAUUCUGGAUCGAUGAUAAAUGAAUAAAGCAAGUCCUAUAUUGGUCCUAGUUUAUAACCUUCGGAGAAUUUCCAGGCCAUGGUGUGUGGAGGUGGAACCAAGGUGGAGCCUUGCAGGCUGCCUGAUUUGAGGAGAUGGAGCUGAAAGUCCAGGGGGAUAAGACAGCUAGAGUAAGCAGAAGAGAGUAUCUGAAGGAGUGAUGUAGAUAUACAACUCCAAAGAUCUGAAGGGGGUCCCCUUGUAUGUUAAUCUGAGUAACGACCAGCAUAUGCAUGUGAGCAAAGAACCACAUGAACGGAUUAAAAGUGACAGGGCCCACACUCACACAGGAAUGGAGACAGGUCUGUCUGUACCUAUGAGACUGGAAAACCUCACGAUUCAAAGCGGAUUGGGUAGAGCACAUAGGAUGAUCUUUUCCCAGCAAUGGGGAAUACUUUGUCUUAGAAUACUGUUUUGGUCUGACCUAACAAAUUUUAAAAGGGACUCCCAAAGGAUCAAACUUUUCCCAAAUAACUUUACUUUGUCCUAGAACAAAGCUCAAGAAUAUUUACAAAAAUACAAAAAUAUUUAGUAUAAAUUCACAGUGUAAAAGUAAAAUGCAUAAUGUCUGACACUCAAUCAAAGAAUAUGAGGACUGAAAGGAUGCAAGAAAAAUACAACCUGUAAUAAGGAGAAACACUGAUUAACUGAAACUGAUGUAGAAAGGAUACAUAUGUUAGAAGUACCAGUCAGGACAUAAAAAGUUACUAUAUCUGUAUUCCAUAUAGUUAUACACUUAUAAUGCGACAUAGAAGAUAUAAAAAAGAUCCACCUAGAACUUCUAGGGAUAAAGACUGCAAUGUCUGAGAUGUAAAGUGUACUGGAUAGGACAAGUGGCAGAAGAAAUAUUGGAGAAGAGAGGACUAGUGAACUAGAAGAAACAGCUAUGAAAACUAUCAAAAAUAAAAUACAAUGAGAAAAGAAAAUAAUAAUUUAAAAAACUGAACAGAGCAGGAGUAAACUGUACAAUGGUUUCAAGUGGCCUCAUAUUUGCGAAUUGGGGCCCUGAAAGGAAUGGUGGUAAAUAUAUUUGAAGGAGUAUAGGCCCAAAAUUUCCAACUUUGAUGAAAACUAUACACUUACAUAAGCAAGAAGCUUGACAAUAUCCAAGCACAGGAAAUAUGAGGGGAACCACAUCAAGGCACACCAUAAUCGAAUGGCUUAAAAUCAGCGGUACAAAGAAAACUCUUAAAAGCAUCAAGAGAAAAAAAAAAUAUGGUUCAUAUAGAAGGACAAAAAUAAAUAUAAUAGAGAUUUCUCACUGGAAACAAUAUGAACAAGAAGACCAAGGAGUAGCAUCUUUCAAGUCCUGAAAGGAAAACAAAAACCUGCCAACCUACACUCCUCUAUCCAGCGAAAUAAACCAAACUCCAGACAAAAACAAGGCCCCCAAAACUUCCAAAAACAAAGGUGAAAUAAAGUUUUUCUGAACCUACAAAAGUGAAAGAAUUCAUCAUCAGCAGAACUACACUGCAGGAAAUAUUAGAGCAAAUCCUUCAGGGAGAAGGAAAAUGACGUCAGGUGAAAAUCUGGAUUUAUACAAAGAGAUGAACAGCAUCAGAAAUGCUACACGGGUAAGUUUAUUAAUUUUUAAAUUAAUCAAAUCUCUAAAAAACAAUAACAUUAAUACAGCAUGGGGUUUAAAACAGUAAUGUAAAAUACAAUGGAUAACAAUGGCAAAAAAAUGUUGGGUGUAGAGUAAUGGAAGUAUCUUAUUCUCAGGUUCUUUUGCUAUAUAUGAAGCAGUAUCAUUUUAUUUGAAGGAAGACUGAUAAAGACAUAUGCUAUAAACCUUAUAGAAACCACUAAAAUAGAGAGUAAUAGCUAAUGAGCUAGCAAUGGAGAUAAAAUAGAAUAAUAAAAAUAUCCAGUAAAUCCAGAAGAAGGCAAAAACAGGAAAAAAAAAAAAAAA